GGGGGCGUUUGGUUUUGACAGCGUAGAUCUUUGAAAGUGUAAGCAUGCAGGGCGUUGUGUAAUUAGCCCUUUAAUCUGAAUACUCAAACUUUAAAUGGCAAUACUCAGUAUGCCAUGGCUGCCUAAUCAGUGAUUAAGUAGUCAUUAGGGCCGCGUUGAGCAGGUUGUUCUGUUACCAUGCUCCGCCGCCGACUUAUAAAACAAAAACAGGAUGCUGCUGAUGAAGGCUGUGACAUUAGCAAAAGACCAUACAGCUAAGCCUUGGGUUGGUUUGUUCUUUCCCUGCCCAUCGCCCACAAGUAAUAAGGAAAUAAGCAUGUAGAAAGCUUUUGAAGGAUAUGUUUGGACACCGGUUCGAGUCCGGUCGCCUCCACAA
This 376-nucleotide transfer-messenger RNA is filed under the name Chitinophagaceae. RNAcentral describes it as "Niabella sp001896965 Standard tmRNA". It matches the Rfam family "transfer-messenger RNA". From Rfam's summary of the family: Bacterial tmRNA, also known as 10Sa RNA or SsrA, is named for its dual tRNA and mRNA-like properties. Its role is to liberate the mRNA from a stalled ribosome. To accomplish this part of the tmRNA is used as a reading frame that ends in a translation stop signal. Lineage: Bacteria; Pseudomonadati; Bacteroidota; Chitinophagia; Chitinophagales. RNAcentral also lists the same sequence under 1 other name. The record is from RNAcentral.